RNAcentral lists this ribosomal RNA (768 nucleotides) under Trichogramma pretiosum. Its description in RNAcentral is "SSU rRNA". It matches the Rfam family "Eukaryotic small subunit ribosomal RNA", at positions 477 to 1206 of the family's 1831-position model. The record is from RNAcentral. Lineage: Eukaryota; Metazoa; Arthropoda; Insecta; Hymenoptera; Trichogrammatidae.
UAACGAUACGGGACUCAUCCGAGGCCCCGUAAUCGGAAUGAGUACACUUUAAAUCCUUUAACGAGGAUCAAUUGGAGGGCAAGUCUGGUGCCAGCAGCCGCGGUAAUUCCAGCUCCAAUAGCGUAUAUUAAAGUUGUUGCGGUUAAAAAGCUCGUAGUUGAAUCUGUGUGCCACGCUGUCGGUUCAUCGCUCGCGAUGUUUAACUGAUCAGAUUGUGGGACGUCCUACCGGUGGGCUUAGUCUUUCGGGACGGCCCAGCUAAUAUCCCAUCGCGGUGCUCUUCAUCGAGUGUCGAGGUGGGCCGGUACGUUUACUUUGAACAAAUUAGAGUGCUCAAAGCAGGCUAUGUUCGCCUGAAUAAUGUGUGCAUGGAAUAAUGGAAUAGGACCUCGGUUCUAUUUUGUUGGUUUUCGGAACCCCGAGGUAAUGAUUAAUAGGGACAGAUGGGGGCAUUCGUAUUGCGACGUUAGAGGUGAAAUUCUUGGAUCGUCGCAAGACGAACAGAAGCGAAAGCAUUUGCCAAAAAUGUUUUCAUUAAUCAAGAACGAAAGUUAGAGGUUCGAAGGCGAUCAGAUACCGCCCUAGUUCUAACCAUAAACGAUGCCAGCUAGCGAUCCGCCGAAGUUCCUCCGAUGACUCGGCGGGCAGCUUCCGGGAAACCAAAGCUUUUGGGUUCCGGGGGAAGUAUGGUUGCAAAGCUGAAACUUAAAGGAAUUGACGGAAGGGCACCACCAGGAGUGGAGCCUGCGGCUUAAUUUGACUCAACAC